AAUAAAGUGCCUGAUAAAAGGAUUACUUUGAUACAGUAUAUAUGUGUUCAUCCUUUAUUU
This 60-nucleotide transfer RNA is filed under the name Epimeria cornigera. Its description in RNAcentral is "tRNA-Ile". Lineage: Eukaryota; Metazoa; Arthropoda; Malacostraca; Amphipoda; Epimeriidae. The record is from RNAcentral. RNAcentral also lists the same sequence under 1 other name.